This 694-nucleotide ribosomal RNA is filed under the name Dirkmeia churashimaensis. RNAcentral's name for it is "eukaryotic LSU rRNA". The stretch from base 210 to 364 matches the Rfam family "5.8S ribosomal RNA". The record is from RNAcentral. Lineage: Eukaryota; Fungi; Basidiomycota; Ustilaginomycetes; Ustilaginales; Ustilaginaceae.
UUUUUCUGAGGUGUGGCUCGCACCUGUCUAACUAAACUUGAGCUACCCAAUUUUCAACACGGUUGCAUCGGUUAGCUGUCAAACAGUGCGGAAACGCGUUGUGCGACGGUUGACACAAACACAAACACUUUUGAUGAUCUAGGAUUUGAAUGAAAGUUCAUUUUUAUGAUGGAACCGACUGGUAAUGCGGUCGUCUAAAUCUAAAAAACAACUUUUGGCAACGGAUCUCUUGGUUCUCCCAUCGAUGAAGAACGCAGCGAAUUGCGAUAAGUAAUGUGAAUUGCAGAAGUGAAUCAUCGAAUCUUUGAACGCACCUUGCGCUCCCGGCAGAUCUAAUCUGGGGAGCAUGCCUGUUUGAGGGCCGCGAAUUGUUUCGAACGACAGCUUUUUUCUUGUAGAAGAGUUGGCGGAUCGGUAGUGAGGGUCUUUGCCAUUUACCGUGGCUCCCUCGAAAUACAUUAGCGCAUCCAUUUAAUAGGCAAGACGGACGAAAGCUCGAUUUUCGCCCCCUCUUCCCUGCCGGGUUUUGAUAAUAUCAGGACUUCGGAGAGCGGAGAGAAGGGUGAGAGCUGGACGCGACGUUUUGCUGGUUGGAGUGCUUCUGAACCCCGCCCAUGCCUUUCGCAAGAAAGGAAGGGAUUUUUCAAUUCAUCGGCCUCAGAUUGGUAGGACUACCCGCUGAACUUAAGCAUAU